Molecule: long non-coding RNA, 998 nt
Organism: Peromyscus leucopus (white-footed mouse)
Lineage: Eukaryota; Metazoa; Chordata; Mammalia; Rodentia; Cricetidae
Exons: 3
Source: RefSeq, a predicted model, not a curated record
GGAUUUUCCAAGCUUGGUCUCAUGUUUGGCUGAGGGUCUCUGUAUCAAUUUCUAUCAGUUGCUGGAUGAAGCCUCUUCGAUGACAAUAGGGCUAGGCACAAAUCUAACCAGCCAUAGAAGACCACAUGCUUCCAAAUCAAUCAAAUCAGAUCUCCUGUGUCUGAAUCUACAGGAUCCCAACCAGCAAGAAGACCCUCACCAGAUGCCUCUGAAUUCCCAGCCCCAAGAUUGUAAAUUGAUUGCAUUCUGCAGUGUCAUUCAGUUAUAGCAACAGAAAAUAGUCCAAGACAUUAGGUACCAACUAUCAAUCCUGAGCAAUACCCAAAGCUGCAGGACAAUAUCCAGCAGCUACUUCAGAACAGGAAUGUGAUAGGUUAACAGCCCCUGGUGAGAUGUUAGCUGAGGCCUUGUUAAGACUCUAAAACUUGCAGAACAGAAAGACAGGUGAGAAGGGCUAGAGCUGGGAGACUGAAAAGAUGCCAGGCACCAAGGCACUGUCAUCCGCCAGCUCUGAUCUGCUCCUGUACCAGGGGUCUAAUCAGGCCUGUGUCUGCCUCCCUACUGAGAAGACCAGACACCCCAUCUCAACAGCCUUCCUCCAGCAGCUCUCUCCCCUCUCCAGGCUGCCACAUGGGAGUUCCAGACCAGUGUUGUCUCCUGGGACAUUGACACAUCAGCUUAGUUUAUCGUUGCUGGACCUUCCACAGUUGGUGUGACUGGAUCAGGGGCUGGCAUCUGAACAGUGUUUGGUAACUUGAUUAUCGGCUAUGUCAGGAACCCUUCUCUCAGGCAGCAGCUCUUCUCCUAUGCCAUUCUGGGCUUUGCCCUGUCUGAGGCCAGGGGGCUCUUCUGUUUUAUGGGUCGCCCUCCUCAUCCUCUUCACCGUGAGACACUGUGGGUCACCCAGAUGUCCCUGCUGCUUUGACUUUAUACCAUUCUUGGUGCUGGAAUGUGCUAAACUUUACCACUAAAUAUUUUUGUUUGUUUGUUUGUUUGUU